Molecule: microRNA precursor, 86 nt
Filed under: Branchiostoma floridae (Florida lancelet)
Lineage: Eukaryota; Metazoa; Chordata; Leptocardii; Amphioxiformes; Branchiostomatidae
Description: mir-2060 microRNA precursor family
Rfam family: mir-2060 microRNA precursor family
Source: Rfam by way of RNAcentral
GUAUGUAGAUGGUAUUCAACACAAGGGACCUUUGUGUUUACCUGUUUGUGGAUGGUGUCCAGCACCAGGGACAGGUGUGUUUACCU